RNAcentral lists this ribosomal RNA (867 nucleotides) under uncultured bacterium. RNAcentral describes it as "bacterial SSU rRNA". It matches the Rfam family "Bacterial small subunit ribosomal RNA", at positions 82 to 928 of the family's 1533-position model. The record is from RNAcentral.
UUGAAAGUUUCUAGUGGCGAACGGGUGCGUAACACGUGAGCAACCUGCCCGGAAGAGGGGGAUAGCUCGAGGAAACUCGAAUUAAUACCGCAUGUGGUCCAGCAGGACAUCCUGCAAGGACUAAAGGUGGGGAUCUUCGGACCUGCCACUUCCGGAUGGGCUCGCGGCCUAUCAGCUUGUUGGUGAGGUAACGGCUCACCAAGGCUACGACGGGUAACUGGUCUGAGAGGAUGAUCAGUCACACUGGAACUGAGACACGGUCCAGACACCUACGGGUGGCAGCAGUCGAGAAUCAUUCGCAAUGGGGGAAACCCUGACGGUGCGACGCCGCGUGGAGGAUGACGGCCCUCGGGUUGUAAACUCCUGUCAUCAGAGAGUAAGGUUUUCCGGUUAAUAGCCGGAGGAAUUGAUAGUAUCUGAAGAGGAAGGGACGGCUAACUUCGUGCCAGCAGCCGCGGUAAUACGAAGGUCCCAAGCGUUGUUCGGAUUUACUGGGCGUAAAGAGUACGUAGGCGGCAAGGUAAGUCAGAUGUGAAAGCCCGGGGCUCAACCUCGGAACUGCAUCCGAUACUGCCUGGCUUGAGUAGUGGAGGGGAGUCUGGAAUUCACGGUGUAGCAGUGAAAUGCGUAGAUAUCGUGAGGAACACUAGUGGCGAAGGCGAGACUCUGGACACUUACUGACGCUGAGGUACGAAGGCCAGGGUAGCGAAAAGGAUUAGAUACCCUUGUAGUCCUGGCAGUAAACGGUGCUCGCUUGGUGUGGGGCGGUUCGACCCGUUCCGUGCCGGAGCUAACGCGUUAAGCGAGCCGCCUGGGGAGUACGGCCGCAAGGCUAAAACUCAAAGAAAUUGACGGGGACCCGCACAA